CCCAAUCUAUGAUGGUUAAUUAUCCCUAUCUGAAAAUCUCAGCUGAAGGGAAAUAAUUCAUUCUGAGGUUUAG
Cavia aperea (Brazilian guinea pig) is the source of this 73-nucleotide small nucleolar RNA. NCBI's taxonomy places the organism in Eukaryota, Metazoa, Chordata, Mammalia, Rodentia, Caviidae. The record is from Ensembl.